CACUAGAGAUGCUUCCUCCGGU
This 22-nucleotide small nuclear RNA is filed under the name Arabidopsis thaliana (thale cress). RNAcentral describes it as "snRNA_18924". Lineage: Eukaryota; Viridiplantae; Streptophyta; Magnoliopsida; Brassicales; Brassicaceae. The record is from RNAcentral.